Long non-coding RNA from Passer domesticus (house sparrow), 2713 nucleotides. RefSeq lists it as uncharacterized. The record is from RefSeq and is a predicted model, not a curated record. NCBI's taxonomy places the organism in Eukaryota, Metazoa, Chordata, Aves, Passeriformes, Passeridae. The transcript is spliced from 3 exons.
UGUGGCUGCCCCUGGAUCCCUGGAAGUGUCCAAGGCCAUGGUGGACAGGGCUUGGAGCACAAGGUGUCCCUGCCCAUGGCAGGGGGUAGAACAAGAUGGGCUUUAAGGCUCCUUCCAACCCAAAGCAUUCCAGGAUUCCUGUGAAAUUCUUUCUAAAUGGCUUUUUCUUGAGACUCUAGGAACAUUUUUGCAAAUGCCAGAAAGAAUCAUGUUCUAGUGAAGAAUACUUCAUUAAAGGCUCUUCAGAUACUAUGAAAGACCUGAAAAUUGGAUAAGUGCAAGUUACAGUAAGAAUUUUCUAAAAGGGGAAAGAACUUCUCUCUCAACUGGACCAGAGCCCAACAUCCUUCCCAGCAGUGUCUCAUAGGGAGGACAUCCCACUCACACUGGAAUGUUAUUUUUACUAAUGAAAGUUAAGCAGUGAAGUUGCUUAUUAUAAAAAAACAACAAUGCAACAAGUUGUGCCCUUCUAUGGGGAAAAAAAACCCCUCAUCUGUCACUUCUCAUGAUAAAAAAAUGUCAACAUUUGAAACUUAUCAUUUCAGAGUCAAUAUUCCUGCUCAUCUUUGGAGGAGAUGUGUAGGGGUGCAUUAGUUUUAAGUUGGUUUAUUCCUGUACCCCCCAUUCUGUUUAUGGUUCUGCCCGGGCUCUCUCUCUCUCUCUCCCUCUUCUUGAUUGUCCUGUCAGUUACACUUUUAUCUCUUCUAAGACCUCCCUGGCUGCCUGUCCGUUAUUCAGUGUCCAUUCCUUUCCAUCUAGAAUCUUCUGUCCAGGACACUGAGAGAUUGGCCCGAAGGUCGGGGCUCAACCCCCAGUUUAUUCCCACUGGAGAUCCGAGAUGUUUGUUAUGCGUUAUUCCCUCCUCUCAAAAUUUUAGAUUGGUUAAUGUAUCCUGUUUAUAAAGCUUUGCCGAGCAAGCAUUUUUGUCCGCGCCCGACGCUGCUUCAAUAAACAUCUCCCUUUUCCCUGUCCGCGCGGUCCUGUCUUUCUCCUGCGAGACGCAGACUGACUACACUGCAGACAGCUCCGGGAAUUCUCGCUCUCCUAAAGGCUUUUCGCCUUAAGCACUCUCCCCAGGAAAUCUUUCCGCGGGAGAGUGCCCUUCCCGCUUCGGUACUGCCGGCGGCACUGCCCACAGCAGCCGGGGACCCAGAGGCCAGUCGUAGCCGCUGCAGAUUGGCGCUCAGCCGUGGGGCUAUCCGACACCACCGCGGACCCUACGACAGAGAAAUCCCGGAGCCAGCGGGCUCGGCUCGUUGAAACACCGGAAAGUUUCUCAUGAGACGUUAACCUACCCCGUGGGAUAGCGGACCCAUUUUCAUGGGUAUCGCUCCACCGGGGACUGGGUCGGUAGCUCCGUGCACUCCGGAGUCGAUCCAUUCGCAGGAGCCGCCUUCCCUAGAACGCGGUACCUCGGCCAGUCCUAACAACCACUUCCAGGACGACCCCCUUUCGGUUGCAGUUGACGGAGCCGCUCCAUCUUAUUGACUCAAAUAUCCAACUCGUCUCCGUCAGUCCGGAGUGCCCAGAAAGCCCGAGAAUGUCCAUCCCCAUAACCCACAUCGAGCUGAUCAUUUUCUGGAACUUUUUUGCCAUCGCGAGCUCAUGGAUUGUCCCUCAACCCAAGCAAAACAUUUGGAAGAUGCUCGCUGGCGCCCUCGGCAGAGAUCAUUUGUGUCUCUCCGCCACCUCGGCAGCAGACCCCUUGUCGACCUGCCUUGUGGGGAUCCCGCUUCCUCCAAAAGAGUUUCCCGAGCCCCUUUACUCCUUCCUUGAACCCCUUUCCCAAAAUAAAGUUUUCAGUCCCUCUAGUCCCAAUCCCAAUCCAAUCUGGAGGAGGCUAAUGUCCAAAUUGAAUAUAUCUAAAUCUGACCCCACCGAAUUUAAAUUGCUCGGCUCCGCGUCAGCAAAUUUGUGUGUUCAACUUUUCCCUUCCCGCGACCGCUACGAAAAAUCUUUUACACCAAUUAUAGAACAGAAUCAAAACUACGCGGCAGGGAAUUGGUGUUCUGUCACCUCUCAUAUUACCACCCCCAUCUCAUUUGACGAUAAACCCAGAUCCCUCCCCAACGGCGUAUUUUUCAUUUGCGGAAACCGAGCAUGGGCAGGUAUCCCCCCUCGCCUUCUAGGAGGCCCGUGUACAUUUGGACGGCUGACGCUGUUUGCUCCCAACAAUUCCCAAAUUAAAGAUUGGAAGGAGAAAAUUGUCGCACACAAUUCGGUCCGCGUAGCAAGAGACCUUAAAGAUUUAGAUGAACAGUGCGACUCCAAAAUUGUUCAUUGGUCAAAGCCAGAAGGUGUCGCAUGGACAGUGUUUCUCCCAUGGGUGUCUAUUGCAAAGUCUCUAGGUGAAUUAGCUCACCUGGAGUGUUGGGUAGCCAGACAGGCCAAUUUUACCUCAGCCGCUCUAAGCAACCUCCUAGCAGACGAGGAAAUAACAAGGCAGGCGACUCUCCAAAACCGGGCAGCAAUAGACUUCCUAUUGCUGCUUCAGGAUCACCGGUGUGAGGAGUUCGAAGGGCUCUGCUGCCUCAAUUUAUCAUCCAAAGCCGGGGACGCCAGAAGAUCUAUUGACCAAAUGAAGGGAAUGAUCAGCGACAUUAAGGAGAAAACAUCAGACUGGUUGGGAGACAUCUUUACGGGAUGGGGUCUCUCGGGCUGGGUAGUCUCUAUUUUGAAAACUGUUGUUUUAGUCCUUUUCAUUUUGCUGGUC